GCCUGGUUACCUCAGUCGGAAGAGCAUGUGACUCUUGAUCUCAGGGUUGUGAGUUUGAGCCCCACAUUGGGUG
This 73-nucleotide transfer RNA is filed under the name Canis lupus familiaris (dog). It matches the Rfam family "tRNA". From Rfam's summary of the family: Transfer RNA (tRNA) molecules are approximately 80 nucleotides in length. Their secondary structure includes four short double-helical elements and three loops (D, anti-codon, and T loops). Further hydrogen bonds mediate the characteristic L-shaped molecular structure. tRNAs have two regions of fundamental functional importance: the anti-codon, which is responsible for specific mRNA codon recognition, and the 3' end, to which the tRNAs corresponding amino acid is attached (by aminoacyl-tRNA synthetases). tRNAs cope with the degeneracy of the genetic code in two manners: having more than one tRNA (with a specific anti-codon) for a particular amino acid; and 'wobble' base-pairing, i.e. permitting non-standard base-pairing at the 3rd anti-codon position. RNAcentral also lists the same sequence under 2 other names. Lineage: Eukaryota; Metazoa; Chordata; Mammalia; Carnivora; Canidae. The record is from Rfam by way of RNAcentral.